RNAcentral lists this ribosomal RNA (460 nucleotides) under uncultured bacterium. RNAcentral describes it as "partial 16S ribosomal RNA". It matches the Rfam family "Bacterial small subunit ribosomal RNA", at positions 338 to 795 of the family's 1533-position model. The record is from RNAcentral.
CCUACGGGAGGCAGCAGUGAGGAAUAUUGGGCAAUGGACGAGAGCCUGAACCAGCAAAGUAGCGUGAAGGAUGAAUGCCCUCUGGUUUGUAAACUUCUUUUAUAAAGGAAUAAAACGAGGCACGUGUGCCGUUUUGCAUGCACUUUAUGACUAAGGAUCGGCUAACUCCGUGCCAGCAGCGGAGGUAAUACGGAGGAUUCGAGCGUUAUCCGGAUUUAUUGGGGGUAAAGGGAGCGUAGAGGGGAUGUUCAGUCAGUUGUGAAAGUCUGCGGCUCAACCGUGGAACUGCAAUUGAUACUGGCAUUCUUGAGUACAGUUGAGGUAGGCGGAAUUCGUGGUGUAGCGGUGAAAUGCUUAGAUAUAACGAAGAACCCCGAUUGCGAAGGCAGCUUACUAAACUGUAACUGACAGUGAGGCUCGAAAGUGUGGGUAUCAAACAGGAUUAGAUACCCGAGUAGUC